CCUACGGGUGGCUGCAGUGGGGAAUAUUGGACAAUGGGGGCAACCCUGACCCAGCGACGCCGCGUGAGGGAAGAAGUAUUUCGGUAUGUAAAGUUCUAUUAUCAGGGAAGAAAGAAAUGACGGUACCUGACUAAUAAGCCCCGGCUAACUACGUGCCAGCAGCCGCGGUAAUACGUAGGGGGCAAGCGUUAUCCGGAUUUACUGGGUGGAAAGGGAGCGUAGACGGCGAAGCAAGUCUGAUGUGAAAGGCAGGGGCCCAACCCCUGGACUGCAUUGGAAACUGUUUGGCGGGAGUGCAGGAGAGGUAAGUGGAAUUCCUAGUGUAGCGGUGAAAUGCGUAGAUAUAAGGAGGAACACCAGGGGCGAAGGCGGAUUACUGGACAGUAACUGACGUUGAGGCUCGAAAGCGUGGGGAGCAAACAGGAUUAGAUACCCGAGUAGUC
RNAcentral lists this ribosomal RNA (443 nucleotides) under uncultured bacterium. Its description in RNAcentral is "partial 16S ribosomal RNA". It matches the Rfam family "Bacterial small subunit ribosomal RNA", at positions 338 to 795 of the family's 1533-position model. The record is from RNAcentral.